RNA transcript from Cololabis saira (Pacific saury), 1687 nucleotides. RefSeq lists it as uncharacterized. The record is from RefSeq and is a predicted model, not a curated record. The transcript has 5 exons. NCBI's taxonomy places the organism in Eukaryota, Metazoa, Chordata, Actinopteri, Beloniformes, Belonidae.
UUUGACAAGCAGCUGCAGCAAUGGGGAGAGAUAUUUCCUCUCACCUCACUGUAAUUGUUGCUUCUCAGAUAUAAACGGUGUUAGAGUUUCAGCUUCUCACAGUUUGGUCAAAUACUUCAAGUUCAGGACUGAUCAGCCUCACAAGGAAACAUACUGUAAAUCAGAGUCCAGGACUUCCUCCGGUGGGAUUCCAAACUAAAAGACCCUUGACAGCGAGAGCUCGUCCCCCUGAACAUCAACACCUCAGCUGAGACUCAAGGAGUCGUUGUUGUUCUGUCCGUCAUCAACAGACCAAAGGGAGAAGAUGAUCUGCAGGAUCCUGCUGCUCAUCAUCCUCACAUCACAUGUCUGUGAAAUGUGUGAACAUCCUCCUCUCUUUCCCUCUCCGUCUCCUCAGCAGCAACAUUUGUAGUGAAUGUGACACAGAGCUCCUAUCAGACAGAGGAGAACCACAACAUCACCCUGGAGUGGACCUUCACCCCCAAACCUGGAACCUCCUCCAGACUUCCUGACAUCUACUGUGAACUCAGAACUUAUCUCAGACCCUUAAUGCUGUUUCAUGUGGUGAACGGAGUUGAGAUGACCUUUUAUCACGAUGAACAGUUUUCAGGACGAGUCCAGAGCGACAGAGAUGCUCUGAGAGAGGGACGACUAAGACUCCACAUGUCCAGACUCAGGACUGAGGACUCAGGACAGUACUGGUGUAGACUGGACACAGAGUCUGGAUGGGGGUCUGCCAGCUGUGAAGUCCUCGUCUCUGCAGCUGCUGAUCUUCCACCUCAGACGCCAACGAUGAUCCCAGAACAAGAACCUCAGGAGACGACCAGAUCCUACGCUGCAGCAGAAGUUGGAGUAGCUGUUGCAGCAGCUGCUCUUCUGAUUAUUUGUGUUACAGUUUUAGUGAAGCAAAGGAGAAAGAAAACCUGCUGUUUUGUCUCAGAGAACCCUCGAGGAGUCGUACACAAGUUUCUGAUGAAUCACAACGUGAGGAUUUUCGGGGAGCUGCUGGAGUUUGUCCCAGGUCUCCGAGGGAAGAACCUCCACAAUACGGAGAACAUGCAAACUCCAACUAAAAACCUGCUGGGAGUCGAACCAGGAACCUCGUUGCUGUAAAGCAGCAGUGCUGACUUCUACACCGCUGUGCUUGUCAGUCAUUGUUCUUCCUAAAACACGCUGUUAUGCUUCUUCACUGUUUUACUUCAUAUCAGUCAUUACUGUCAGAUAUCUUUACACUUUACACUAAACUCUCUGUUGUCAUGGAUACUAAAGUACCAGAAUAUCAAUAUAAUAUAAUAAUAAUAUAAUAUAAUAUCAAUAUAAUAAAAUAUCAGAAUAAUAUACGAAUAUAACAGUAUCCAUGCGUAAACGUGGUUUCCAGUAGUUUCUGCUUGUGACUUCAAAUGAGGAGGACAGUGAAUAGUAUUCAUGUUUUCUGAUCAAUAUACUUUGUGGUUUUAUAUUUCCCUGUAUUGUUGUUGCCAUGACAACUCAGUUUCCAUCUGGGGAUUAUGAAUAUUUUUUUUAGUAUAUAACUAUUUAUUUCUCUUGUUUUAACCUUUUAUAAAAACAGCAUUACAUCAUGUUUUAUUACAACACAAAUAUACAAAAUGAAUCCUUUUUAAAUAAAUCCUGAUUACAAAAACGUUGUGUAAAAUGUAAAAUUAAAAGUCUAAGAAUUAUCACAUCA